UAGAUAUUUUCUCUGUCCAACAAAGGAUGUCUCAAUUUUAACUAAAUUUAAAUUCAUCUAUACACCAAUCAUGUUUAGAUAUAUCUAAAUUUUGACAAAUUUGAGACAUCUUUUACUGGACAGAGAGAGUACAUU
This is a non-coding RNA of Brachypodium distachyon (stiff brome), 135 nucleotides long. The record is from Rfam. Lineage: Eukaryota; Viridiplantae; Streptophyta; Magnoliopsida; Poales; Poaceae.